GACCCAGUGGUGGAUGGACCACACCUGCUCCUUAUCUGGUGAAAGGAAAGUUGUAGCAGAAGGCUCUGGUUUGAUUCCGGGCUGGGUCA
Molecule: non-coding RNA, 89 nt
Organism: Mycena belliarum
Lineage: Eukaryota; Fungi; Basidiomycota; Agaricomycetes; Agaricales; Mycenaceae
Source: the annotation of a GenBank genome assembly